ACGACUCUCGGCAACGGAUAUCUCGGCUCUCGCAUCGAUGAUGAACGUAGCGAAAUGCGAUACCUGGUGUGAAUUGCAGAAUCCCGCGAACCAUCGAGUCUUUGAACGCAAGUUGCGCCCGAGGCCACUCGGCCGAGGGCACGCCUGCCUGGGCGUCACGC
Molecule: ribosomal RNA, 161 nt
Filed under: Hordeum brachyantherum subsp. californicum
Lineage: Eukaryota; Viridiplantae; Streptophyta; Magnoliopsida; Poales; Poaceae
Description: 5.8S ribosomal RNA
Rfam family: 5.8S ribosomal RNA
About the family: 5.8S ribosomal RNA (5.8S rRNA) is a component of the large subunit of the eukaryotic ribosome. It is transcribed by RNA polymerase I as part of the 45S precursor that also contains 18S and 28S rRNA. Functionally, it is thought that 5.8S rRNA may be involved in ribosome translocation.
Source: RNAcentral